GUCUGAGCCUCAGUUUUGGCGUUUUCAUGGGUCUUAAUUAUGAAUGAAAUUCGGCACUUUGAAGUCAAACUCGGGAAGAAGCAGAAACAGAAUUGAAUGAGCUGAUAAUUAGAAUAACACAGGAAAAACAUAUUCCGAGAAUACAUUAUUACAGUACAGGCCCAUUGAUGCAGGAAGUGAGUGGAUAGUACAUGUAAUACCCUCAGGGAGCCAG
Saccostrea cuccullata (small rock oyster) is the source of this 214-nucleotide long non-coding RNA. RefSeq lists it as uncharacterized. The record is from RefSeq and is a predicted model, not a curated record. Lineage: Eukaryota; Metazoa; Mollusca; Bivalvia; Ostreida; Ostreidae. The transcript has 3 exons.